Molecule: ribosomal RNA, 787 nt
Filed under: uncultured archaeon
Lineage: Archaea
Description: bacterial SSU rRNA
Rfam family: Archaeal small subunit ribosomal RNA
Source: RNAcentral
UAUGGACGGGAAUAACCUUGGGAAACUGAGAAUAAUGCCCGACAGAACAUUAUACCUGGAACGGUUUAUGUUUCAAAUGAUUUAUCGCCGUAGGAUGGGACUGCGGCCUAUCAGUUUGUUGGUGAGGUAGUGGCCCACCAAGACUAUUACAGGUACGGGCUCUGAGAGGAGUAGCCCGGAGAUGGGUACUGAGACACGGACCCAGGCCCUAUGGGGCGCAGCAGGCGAGAAAACUUUGCAGUGUGCGAAAGCACGACAAGGUUAAUCCGAGUGGUUUCUGCUAAAGAAACCUUUUGCUAGUCCUAGAAACACUAGUGAAUAAGGGGUGGGCAAGUUCUGGUGUCAGCCGCCGCGGUAAAACCAGCACCUCAAGUGGUCAGGAUGAUUAUUGGGCCUAAAGCAUCCGUAGCUCGUUUUGUAAGUUUUCGGUUAAAUCCAUACGCUCAACGUAUGGGCUGCCGGGAAUACUGCAUAACUAGGAAGUGGGAGAGGUAGACGGUACUCGGUAGGAAGGGGUAAAAUCCUUUGAUCUAUUGAUGACCACCUGUGGCGAAGGCGGUCUACCAGAACACGUUCGACGGUGAGGGGUGAAAGCUGGGGGAGCAAACCGGAUUAGAUACCCGGGUAGUCCCAGCUGUAAACUAUGCAAACUCAGUGAUGCAUUGGCUUGUGGCCAAUGCAGUGCUGCAGGGAAGCCGUUAAGUUUGCCGCCUGGGAAGUACGUACGCAAGUAUGAAACUUAAAGGAAUUGGCGGGGGAGCACCACAAGGGGUGAAGCCUGCGGUUC